Long non-coding RNA from Acanthochromis polyacanthus (spiny chromis), 944 nucleotides. RefSeq lists it as uncharacterized. The record is from RefSeq and is a predicted model, not a curated record. NCBI's taxonomy places the organism in Eukaryota, Metazoa, Chordata, Actinopteri, Pomacentridae. The transcript is spliced from 7 exons.
AACACCAAGAAUCAGUGACCAGAGACCAGAGGUGGUCCAGGACCUGGUUCUGAGACAUUAGAGGAAAAACAGUCAGUACCAAUAAUCAAUAAUCAGGGACCAGAGGUGGUCCAGGACCUGGUUCUGAGACAUUAGAGGAAAAACAGUCAGUACCAAUAAUCAAUAAUCAGGGACCAGAGGUGGUCCAGGACCUGGUUCUGAGACAUUAGAGCAAAAACAGUCAGUACCAAUAAUCAAUAAUCAGAGACCAGAGGUGGUCCAGGACCUGGUUCUGAGACGUUAGAGCAAAAACAGUCAGUACCAAUAAUCAAUAAUCAGAGACCAGAGGUGGUCCAGGACCUGGUUCUGAGACAUUAGAGGAAAAACAGUCAGUACCAAUAAUCAAUAAUCAGAGACCAGAGGUGGUCCAGGACCUGGUUCUGAGACGUUAGAGCAAAAACAGUCAGUACCAAUAAUCAAUAAUCAGAGACCAGAGGUGGUCCAGGACCUGGUUCUGAGACAUUAGAGGAAAAACAGUCAGUACCAAUAAUCAAUAAUCAGAGACCAGAGGUGGUCCAGGACCUGGUUCUGAGACGUUAGAGCAAAAACAGUCAGUACCAAUAAUCAAUAAUCAGAGACCAGAGGUGGUCCAGGACCUGGUUCUGAGACAUUAGAGGAAAAACAGUCAGUACCAAUAAUCAAUAAUCAGGGACCAGAGGUGGUCCAGGACCUGGUUCUGAGACAUUAGAGGAAAAACAGUCAGUACCAAUAAUCAAUAAUCAGGGACCAGAGGUGGUCCAGGACCUGGUUCUGAGACAUUAGAGGAAAAACAGUCAGUACCAAUAAUCAAUAAUCAGGGACCAGAGGUGGUCCAGGACCUGGUUCUGAGACGGUAGAGCAAAAACAGUCAGUACCAAUAAUCAAUAAUCAGGGACCAGAGGUGGUCCAGGACCUGGUUCUGAGAC